CUCGACAAGACACAUAUUUUCUCCGUUACAUUUUAUCAGCCAUCUUUUACGGUUAUUUAGUAAAUCCGAUAACAAGCUAAGGUCAAAAUCUAGGUCAUGACCUUGACCUUUGACCUUAGGUCAAUUUUCAUGUUCAUGUAAAUUGAUGAUCAUUGGUGAUGAUCCUAGGUGGCUACAACUUACAGUUUUUGAGUUUUAGUGGCCAACCGACAUUUGUUAAUUUUCAAAGGGGCAUAACCCUACCAAUGAGUCGUUGAAUCUUUUCGAUUCAAAUGUAACGAAGCACCAGGGUCUGUUCCUGAACAAAUUCCACCCUUUGUUUUUUUUCUACCUAUUAUGGUUAUGGAGUUAGAAUGAUAACAAGUUUUUCGGUCUUAGGGGAGAUAACCCCUAUAAAGGAAAUGUUACGGGGUCGUGCCCUCACCACAAGAUAGCUUUUGGUCAACCGAUACUAGAUACCUAAUAUCAUUUCAACAUGUCGCGUACUUUUUUUGGGAAAUUUCG
This 504-nucleotide long non-coding RNA is filed under the name Mytilus galloprovincialis (Mediterranean mussel). The record is from RNAcentral. Lineage: Eukaryota; Metazoa; Mollusca; Bivalvia; Mytilida; Mytilidae.